AAAAAGGCCCUUUUCAGGGCCAGCGAAUAAUGUAAAAGGCAAGCUUU
Molecule: non-coding RNA, 47 nt
Organism: Stegodyphus mimosarum
Lineage: Eukaryota; Metazoa; Arthropoda; Arachnida; Araneae; Eresidae
Source: Rfam